Small nucleolar RNA from Raphanus sativus (radish), 86 nucleotides. RefSeq annotates it as small nucleolar RNA snoR14. NCBI's taxonomy places the organism in Eukaryota, Viridiplantae, Streptophyta, Magnoliopsida, Brassicales, Brassicaceae. The record is from RefSeq and is a predicted model, not a curated record. The transcript has a single exon.
UCGAGGUGACGAUAGAAAAUUCACGUCUUUCAAUCCCCUGAAACAUAUUGUGAUGUUGUUGUGUUAUUUGGACAGGUUUUGAUUGA